This 460-nucleotide ribosomal RNA is filed under the name uncultured bacterium. Its description in RNAcentral is "bacterial SSU rRNA". It matches the Rfam family "Bacterial small subunit ribosomal RNA", at positions 28 to 498 of the family's 1533-position model. The record is from RNAcentral.
GACGAACGCUGGCGGCGCGCCUAACACAUGCAAGUCGAACGGAGCUUAGAGAGCUUGCUUUUUAAGCUUAGUGGCGAACGGGUGAGUAACGCGUGAGUAACCUGCCCUAGAGUGGGGGACAACAGUUGGAAACGACUGCUAAUACCGCAUAAGCCCACGGUACCGCAUGGCACUGAGGGAAAAGGAUUUAUUCGCUUUAGGAUGGACUCGCGUCCAAUUAGCUAGUUGGUGAGGUAACGGCCCACCAAGGCGACGAUUGGUAGCCGGACUGAGAGGUUGAACGGCCACAUUGGGACUGAGACACGGCCCAGACUCCUACGGGAGGCAGCAGUGGGGGAUAUUGCACAAUGGGGGAAAACCCUGAUGCAGCGACGCCGCGUGAGUGAUGAAGUAUUUCGGUAUGUAAAAACUCUAUCAGCAGGGAAGAUAAAUGACGGUAUCUGACUAAGAAGCACCGGCU